This 440-nucleotide ribosomal RNA is filed under the name uncultured bacterium. RNAcentral's name for it is "partial 16S ribosomal RNA". It matches the Rfam family "Bacterial small subunit ribosomal RNA", at positions 338 to 795 of the family's 1533-position model. The record is from RNAcentral.
CCUACGGGAUGCAGCAGUGGGGAAUAUUGCACAAUGGGGGAAACCCUGAUGCAGCGACGCCGCGUGAGUGAAGAAGGAAUUCGUUAUGUAAAGCUCUAUCAGCAGGGAAGAAAAUGACGGUAACUGAGUAAGAAGCCCCGGCUAACUACGGGCCAGCAGCCGAGGUAAUACGUAGGGGGAAAGCGGUAUCCGGAUUUACUGGGUGUAAAGGGGGGGUAGACGGCAGUGCAAGUCUUGAGGGAAAGGCGGGGGCUCAACCCCCGGAAUGCUCUGGAAACUGUACGGCUGGAGUGCAGGAGAGGUAAGUGGAAUUCCUAGUGUAGCGGUGAAAUGCGUAGAUAUUAGGAGGAACACCAGUGGCGAAGGCGGCUUACUGGACUGUAACUGACGUUGAGGCUCGAAAGCGUGGGGAGCAAACAGGAUUAGAUACCCCAGUAGUC